GCGGGAACCUCCGGGCGAGGCGUGAGGGGACUUGAGGGGUGAAGGGUGAGGACUGAGGGUUGAGGGGGCUGAGGGCGGAAGGCUGAGUCCCUCCGCCUCUGAGGGCACGGCGUUAGACCCGCGGGGUGAGUCGCGGGAGGCGCUAGCCCCCGCCGGCACCGGAGAAAGAAAGGGUUAAAGGCCGGCAGUGUUUGGCCACCGCGGUACAGCCACGUCGUACAGCGCCCGCAGGGCAGCUGCUGAGUGAGCGACACGUCUACGCAGGGCUCUGAGACAGCGGCGCUGCCCACUCGGGUGGCACGGGGCUGGUCUUGGAAGGGAGGGAAGCCUUUGGAGGUGGCGCUGGGAGGCUGCACUUCACUACUUAGGUUUUGCGGGUACUCUGAGGAUGGAAGGGCCAGUUAGGAGGCUGAGCAAAGCCAUUGCUACAGAUAGCAAAGAAAUGCAUCUCACUCCCAGUGACAUUGCUGUGAAGAUGCAGAAGAGGAACACCAAAUUCCAAGACUUGCUGCAGGCAUGAACGCUCCCAGAAGUGUGAGUCAGCUCAAAACAACUGCUAGGAUCUGUGAUGGAACAUGCCUGCCACUUUCACUGUUAAUGGAAAACAAUGAAAUAUCUGGCAGGAUCAGUUACAUUAAGGUGUGAUUUCCUGCUGGCAUAAGAUCUGGAGGCCAAAGGGGAGACUGAAUGUGAACUAAGCUGUUCAUUCCUGCUUUAGCCAUGCCCUGGAAGAACUUAUCAUACCACUCAAGUCACUUUAGAGGCAUUAAAAAGGCACCAAGAAAUAGUGUUAACAAAGUCAAGACAAAUUGCGUUCAUCUGGAGAGUUAGAGCUAUGGAAACCUGCAGUUAAUGCUGUUGAGGUGCUAAUGAAGUUGAUGGGAAGGAACCCUUUAAAAGGAACUUGGAUUCCGAUGUAGAAGGACUGUAGAUGAGGGGACCAAAGGAUGUCUUUUUGGGCAUGGUGUCCAUGGGCAUGGUUAACACACCAAAUGGUACAGAAAACAUUACAUGCAUGGAGAGCAUCAAAACUGAAAUUACUGUUGGUGUGGUAUCCUUUGGGUUUCCUGAAUUCUUAGAAUUUUAUCUUUAGUACUCACAAAUAAAUAAUGGUUGUGAUUAUAUUUAAA
This is a long non-coding RNA of Lepidothrix coronata (blue-crowned manakin), 1130 nucleotides long. RefSeq lists it as uncharacterized. Lineage: Eukaryota; Metazoa; Chordata; Aves; Passeriformes; Pipridae. The transcript has 9 exons. The record is from RefSeq and is a predicted model, not a curated record.